AUUGAACGCUGGCGGCAGGCCUAACACAUGCAAGUCGAGCGCGAAAGUUCUUCGGAAUGAGUAAAGCGGCGGACGGGUGAGUAAUACAUGGGAAUCUGCCUGGUAGUGGGGGACAACGUUUCGAAGGAACGCUAAUACCGCAUACGCCCUACGGGGGAAAGGGGGGGAUCUUCGGACCUCUCGCUAUCAGAUGAGCCCAU
Molecule: ribosomal RNA, 200 nt
Filed under: uncultured bacterium
Lineage: Bacteria
Description: partial 16S ribosomal RNA
Rfam family: Bacterial small subunit ribosomal RNA
Source: RNAcentral